This 274-nucleotide ribosomal RNA is filed under the name uncultured eukaryote. Its description in RNAcentral is "partial 18S ribosomal RNA". It matches the Rfam family "Eukaryotic small subunit ribosomal RNA", at positions 594 to 945 of the family's 1831-position model. The record is from RNAcentral.
CUAGCGUAUAUUAAAGUUGUUGCAGUUAAAAAGCUCGUAGUUGGAUUUCAAGAAACGCAUCUGGUAACCCAGUUUGCUUUCUACCAGUCUCUGACUGUUACUGUGAGAAAAUUAGAGUGUUUCAAGCAGGCAAUUGCAGGAAUACAUUAGCAUGGAAUAACGAAUGUGUCUACAAUUUGGUUGAUUGUAGGUUUCAAUUAAUAGGGACAGUUGGGGGCAUUAGUAUUUAAUUGUCAGAGGUGAAAUUCUUGGAUUUGUUAAAGACUAACGUAUG